This 301-nucleotide ribosomal RNA is filed under the name uncultured bacterium. RNAcentral's name for it is "partial 16S ribosomal RNA". It matches the Rfam family "Bacterial small subunit ribosomal RNA", at positions 509 to 807 of the family's 1533-position model. The record is from RNAcentral.
CAGCCGCCACGGGAAUACGAAGGGGGCUAGCGUUGUUCGGAAUCACUGGGCGUAAAGCGCACGUAGGCGGAUUUUUAAGUCAGGGGUGAAAUCCCGAGGCUCAACCUCGGAACUGCCUUUGAUACUGGAGAUCUUGAGUUCGGAAGAGGUUGGUGGAACAGCUAGUGUAGAGGUGAAAUUCGUAGAUAUUAGCUAGAACACCAGUGGCGAAGGCGGCCAACUGGUCCGACACUGACGCUGAGGUGCGAAAGCGUGGGGAGCAAACAGGAUUAGAUACCCCCGUAGUCCCUGUCUCUUAUAC